Molecule: non-coding RNA, 205 nt
Organism: Pelobates cultripes (western spadefoot toad)
Lineage: Eukaryota; Metazoa; Chordata; Amphibia; Anura; Pelobatidae
Source: the annotation of a GenBank genome assembly
UAGACAUUCAAGCAACAGUUCACUUUCUCCACUUGCUCAGAGCAUUUCAUCUAUUUUUGUUUAGCAGGUUAAGUUUUUCUUUCAUCUUUCACUUCUAUUUCUCACUGGAACAGAUGGUACAGGAUAUCUGUUAGUGUGGUAGUGCACACAAAUCUCUAUGAUAGUAGUUAAAGGUAAUAACACAGUAUGCAAAAUAUUGACAGAG